Propithecus coquereli (Coquerel's sifaka) is the source of this 2061-nucleotide RNA transcript. It is a transcript of the gene named heat shock protein HSP 90-alpha pseudogene, with no coding region annotated. Lineage: Eukaryota; Metazoa; Chordata; Mammalia; Primates; Indriidae. The record is from RefSeq and is a predicted model, not a curated record. The transcript is spliced from 2 exons.
GAGGAAACCCAGACCCAAGACCAACCGAUGGAGGAGGAAGAGGAUGAGGCAUUUGCCUUUCAGGCAGAAAUUGCCCAGCUGAUGUCAUUGAUCAUCAAUACUUUCUAUUCAAACAAAGAGAUUUUUCUGAGAGAGCUCAUUUCAAACUCAUCAGAUGGUUCGGACAAAAUCAGAUAUGAAAGCUUGACAGAUCCCAGUAAACUAGACUCUGGGAAAGAGUUGCACAUUAAUCUCAUACCAAACAAACAAGAUCCAACCCUCACUAUUGUGGAUACUGGAAUUGGAAUGAUCAAGGCUGACUUGAUCAAUAACCUUGGUACUAUCACCAAGUCUGGGACCAAAGCAUUCACGGAAGCUUCGCAGGCUGGUGCAGACAUAUCUGUGAUUGGCCAGUUCGGUGUUGGUUUUUAUUCUGCGUAUUUGGUUGCCGAGAAAGUUAUCCUCCAUUUGAAAGAAGACCAAACUGAGUGCUUGAAGGAAAGAAGAAUAAAGGAGAUCAUGAAGAUAUAUUCUCAGUUUAUUGGCUAUCCCAUUACUCUGUUUGUGGAGAAGGAACAUGAUAAAGAAGUCAACGAUGAUGAGGCUGAAGAAAAGGAAGACAAGGAGGAGGAGAAAGAAAAAGAAGAAAAGGAAUCUGAUGACAAGCCCCAAAUAGAAGAUAUUGGUUUUAAUGAAGAGGAAGAAGAAAAGAAGAAUGGUGACAAGAAGAAAAAGAUAAAGGAAAACUACAUUGAUCAAGAAGAGCUCAACAAAACAAUGCCUACGUGGACGAGAAAUCCUGAUGAUAUUACUAAUGAAGAGUAUGGAGAAUUCUAUAAGAGCUUGACCAAUGACUGGGAAGAUCAUUUGGUGGUGAAGCACUUUUCAGUUGAAGGACAGUUGGAAUUCAGAGCUCUUCUUUUUUUCCAAGAUGUGCUCCUUUCGACAUAUUUGAAAACAGAAAGAAAAAGAACAACAUUAAGUUGUAUGUGCGCAGAGUUUUCAUCAUGGAUAUCUGUGAGGAGCUAAUCCCUGAAUACUUGAAUUUCAUUAGAGGAGUGGUGGAUUCUGAGGACUUCCCUCUAAAUAUUUCCCAUGAGAUGUUGCUGCAAAGCAAAAUUUUGAAAGUUAUCACAAAGAAUUUAGUCAAAAAGUGCUUAGAGCUCUUCAACGAAUUGGCAGGAGAUAAAGAGAACUACAAAAAGUUUUAUGAGCAGUUCUCUAAAAACAUAAAGCCUGGAAUACAAAACAGGAAGAAGCUUUCAGAGCUACUGCGAUACUAUACAUCUGCUUCUGGUGAUGAGAUGGUUUCUCUCAAGGACUACUGCACCAGAAUGAAGGAAAAACCAGAAAUAUAUCCACUGUAUCACAGGUGAGGCCAAGGACCAGGUAGCUAACUCAGCCUUCAUGGAACAUCUUCAGAAGCAUGGCUUAGAAUUGAUCUAUAUGAUCGAGCCAAUCGAUGAGUACUGUGUCUAACAACCGAAGGAAUUUGAGGGGAAAGCUUUAGUGUCAGUCACCAAAGAAGGCUUAGAACUUCCAGAAGAUGAAGAAGAGAAAAAGAAACAGGAAGAGAAAAAAACAAAGUUCGAAAACCUCUGCAAAAUCAUGAAAGACAUCUUGGAGAAAAAAGUUGAAAAGGUGCUUGUGUCAAACUGAUUGGUGACAUCCCCAUGCUGUAUUGUCACAAGCACAUAUGGCUGGACAGAAAACACGGAAAGAAUUAUGAAAGCUCAAGCCCUAAGAGACAGCUCGAUAAUGGGUUACAUGGCAGCUAAGAAACACCUGGAGAUAAACCCUGACCAUUCCGUUAUUGAGAACUUAAGGAAGAAGGCAGAGGCUGACAAGAAUGACAAGUCUGUGAAGGAUCUGGUCAUCUUGCUUUACGAAACUGCACUCUUGUCUUCUGGCUUCAGUCUGGAAGAUCCCCAGAAACAUGCUAACAGGAUCUGCAGGAUGAUCAAACUUGGUCUGGGUAUUGAUGAAGAUGACCCUACUGCUGAUGAUACCAAUGCUGCCGUAACUGAAGAGAUGCCACCUUUUGAAGGAGAUGAUGACACAUCACACGGGGAAGUAGACUAA